GAGAAUUUAGUUAAUUUAAUAACAUUAGAUUGUCAAGCUAAAAUAAUCAAAUUAUUGAUAUUUCUCU
RNAcentral lists this transfer RNA (67 nucleotides) under Neolaxta sp. B107. RNAcentral's name for it is "tRNA-Asp". Lineage: Eukaryota; Metazoa; Arthropoda; Insecta; Blattodea; Blaberidae. The record is from RNAcentral.